Molecule: ribosomal RNA, 493 nt
Filed under: uncultured bacterium
Lineage: Bacteria
Description: partial 16S ribosomal RNA
Rfam family: Bacterial small subunit ribosomal RNA
Source: RNAcentral
GAGUGACCGCUGGCGGUAGGCCUAACCCAUGCAAGUCGAACGGCAGCACAGUAAGAGCUUGCUCUUACGGGUGGCGAGUGGCGGACGGGUGAGGAAUACAUCGGAAUCUACUUUUUCGUGGGGGAUAACGUAGGGAAACUUACGCUAAUACCGCAUACGACCUACGGGUGAAAGCAGGGGAUCUUCGGACCUUGCGCGAUUGAAUGAGCCGAUGUCGGAUUAGCUAGUUGGCGGGGUAAAGGCCCACCAAGGCGACGAUCCGUAGCUGGUCUGAGAGGAUGAUCAGCCACACUGGAACUGAGACACGGUCCAGACUCCUACGGGAGGCAGCAGUGGGGAAUAUUGGACAAUGGGCGCAAGCCUGAUCCAGCCAUACCGCGUGGGUGAAGAAGGCCUUCGGGUUGUAAAGCCCUUUUGUUGGGAAAGAAAAGCAGCAGGUUAAUACCCCGCUGUUCUGACGGUACCCAAAGAAUAAGCACCGGCUAACUUCGUG